This 76-nucleotide transfer RNA is filed under the name Bacteroidetes bacterium SW_11_45_7. Its description in RNAcentral is "tRNA-Trp". It matches the Rfam family "tRNA". Rfam says of the family: Transfer RNA (tRNA) molecules are approximately 80 nucleotides in length. The record is from RNAcentral. Lineage: Bacteria; Pseudomonadati; Bacteroidota.
ACGGGUAUAGCUCAAUUGGGAGAGCUACGGUCUCCAAAACCGUUGGUUGGGGGUUCGAGUCCCUCUACCCGUGCUA